Pelodiscus sinensis (Chinese soft-shelled turtle) is the source of this 1807-nucleotide non-coding RNA. Lineage: Eukaryota; Metazoa; Chordata; Testudines; Trionychidae. The record is from RefSeq and is a predicted model, not a curated record.
UGGUUCACAAGUUAUACUGCAAUGGAAGGGCAGCUCUAAAACCUGAGGGACCAACUGGAAAUUUCUAAAGUCCAGCCAAAGGGAAACACAUUCAAAAGUUCCUCUGAAUCCAGUGCUCAGCUUUCGUCCAGCAGCUAAGUAAUGGCACAUGUAGUUUGGAUUGAUAGACGGGGAUUUGUAAAGGUAAGGGGCACAUGCAAGUGCUAGUUUAUUCAGGGUUUGCCACAUAUACUUUAUGUUAGCACAUUACUGGCUUGGGAGGUUACUUUUUGGGCCAGUUGUGCAAAAUUGGCCACAGAUGCUGAAGAGUCAACCUUGUAUCUGAUGGAUGGCAACCUGAAGUUACAAUUGAAAAGAGGCUAUGUUUCUUUUAGAAGAUUGGUCUUGGGUUGCAGUUUAACAAAGAAACCCCCAAAUGCAUUUGGGGGAAGGGAGUGGCUAUGUAGGUAAGCAGCAGAAUCCCAGAUGGGGGAGAAAAUGGCAAAUAAUUUUAGAAUAAUGAAGCUGUGUGAUCAAAUUAAGACGCAAGGGGCAAAGAGACAAUGGAAGUGGAAAAGAAACAUGGGACCAGAUUUUUCAAAAGAAUUCAGCACCCAGCAACUCUUAUUUGGCCACCUUAGUAAGUGGCAGACAGUUCCCAAAAGCUCAGCUCCCAAUCAGGUAUUUAAGUAGUGUGGCCAGAUUUUCAAAAGGGCUCAGUUACAAGGAACUAAGCUCUUUGAAAAUCUAGUACGCACUCUUCUUUGUCCAGUCAGAGAUCUUCAGUAGUCAGAAAGAGGGUACUAUAGACAAUUAUAGUGGUCAGAACCAUAUUUCAUUAGCUCUGAGAGUGACUGAACCAUCAAGAGAGGGACUGGUGCAUCCUGGCCAAAGGUUUUCAAGCAUCUCUUUCUCUGACGUUUCCUUGUAUUUUUCUCAACUCCAGGGUUGACCAGGUGGAAGUCUGAAUCAAUUUGGAAUGAUCAAUUGCUCAGAGCUUGCCAGAGAUGAGAAGACCAAAAACAAAACAAGUUGCAGACAGGACGUAUUAACAGUGGUUGCACAUCUUCUCCUUUAUCGGGGCCUGGAAAGAACAAAGUAGCUGUCAGAGGUGUGCUCAUUCACAUCCAUGUGGGCAGUACGCAGAGAGAGAAGAGACAAGACAAAAGAUGAUGCUAAAACAGCUUCAACACCUGAAGAAGAAAGGAGGCAGCAUUGGUCUGUGGGGAGAUCCCAACUGAAGGAUUCUGUCGGUAAACUUAUGAGAGACCUUUGCUUUGAAUUCAUUAAGUUCUGUGUACACUGGCAAUUGAACACAAAACAUUUAUCUUGCAGAGGUGUUAAUCUCCACCCUUUCCCCUUCCCCCAAAAAAGACAAAUAUUUUGUUAUGGCAAGUGCCCGCAUGAACAAUGCAUUGUCAGCACAAGGCUCUCCUACAACAACAUGAAUGCCACUCUUCGGAGGUGGACGUAUUUUGUCAGCAAAAGAACUGACAAACAGCAGCUAUUCUGCCAGACUUUUAGCGGGACAGACGUGUCAACAUGACCUUGUUGCUAAAAGCUGCAUAAUGAAGAUAUAGCCUUAAUUUUUUAAGUUAGAUAUCUUAGGGAUUUACCUUUUAUUUUCUUGUAACUAAUUCUGGCCAGUUUGCAUCAUUACUUGUAAUCACUUAAAAUCUCUCUUUCUAUCAUUAAUACAUGUGAGUUUUGUUGUAAACCAGCGAGUUUGGCUUGAAGUGUCUGAGAAACUUCAUCUGGAAUAAUAGGAUCUGCAUAUCAUUUUCUAUUAAUGCAGUGAUGGACUUUUAAACUUGUAGGCUACGUCUAG